CGGACGGGUGAGUAACGCGUGGGAACCUACCUAGUAGCGGAGGAUAACUCGGGGAAACUCGAGCUAAUACUGCAUACGCCCUACGGGGGAAAGCGGGGGAUCUUCGGACCUCGCACUAUUAGAUGAGCCCGCGUGAGAUUAGCUUGUUGGUGAGGUAAAGGCUCACCAAGGCGACGAUCUCUAGCUGGUCUGAGAGGAUGAUCAGCCACACUGGGGCUGAGACACGGCCCAG
RNAcentral lists this ribosomal RNA (232 nucleotides) under uncultured bacterium. Its description in RNAcentral is "partial 16S ribosomal RNA". It matches the Rfam family "Bacterial small subunit ribosomal RNA", at positions 99 to 334 of the family's 1533-position model. The record is from RNAcentral.